Molecule: unclassified non-coding RNA, 445 nt
Filed under: Hevea brasiliensis (rubber tree)
Lineage: Eukaryota; Viridiplantae; Streptophyta; Magnoliopsida; Malpighiales; Euphorbiaceae
Source: RNAcentral
UAUAGCUUCUACUCAAUGGGAAUAGAAUGAGUGAAAAAGUCCAAUAUGACUCUACCAAAGUAAGUAAUAUAUCUUUUACCACUAAGUCAAGAUAAGCCAUUAUAUUCUUAAUUGUCAUCCAUAAUUGUCACAAGAAUUGAAAAAAAUUUUCAACUUGUAAUUAUUAUUAUUAUAAGAUAAUUUUACCAAUAAUGAUUAAGUGGAUAAAAAAUAGCAAAAACUACUCAUCAUGAAUUCAACUGUUUAAUGUCUCAAGUCAAGUACUUGAAUGUGAAAAUCCAAAUCUAAAGAAAUUAUUAUUAUUAUUAGCAUAAGAGGGAUAUGAUUUAGGCCGUUUAGGGAUAUUAAUAUAAUUUAACUAUAGUGUGAUCUAGAGAAUGAUAUUAAAUAGUAAGAUCAAGUAAAAAUUAAGAAGAAAAAGGGCGGACCAUGCAAUGAAGAAGAU